RNAcentral lists this ribosomal RNA (503 nucleotides) under uncultured bacterium. Its description in RNAcentral is "partial 16S ribosomal RNA". It matches the Rfam family "Bacterial small subunit ribosomal RNA", at positions 30 to 523 of the family's 1533-position model. The record is from RNAcentral.
AUUGAACGCUGGCGGCAGGCUUAACACAUGCAAGUCGGGCGGGGUGAUGGUGCUUGCACUAUCACUUAGCGGCGGACGGGUGAGUAAUGCUUAGGAAUCUGCCUAUUAGUGGGGGACAACAUCCCGAAAGGGAUGCUAAUACCGCAUACGUCCUACGGGAGAAAGCAGGGGAUCACUUGUGACCUUGCGCUAAUAGAUGAGCCUAAGUCGGAUUAGCUAGUUGGUGGGGUAAAGGCCUACCAAGGCGACGCUCUGUAGCGGGUCUGAGAGGAUGAUCCGCCACGCUGGGACUGAGACACGGCCCAGACUCCUACGGGAGGCAGCAGUGGGGAAUAUUGGACAAUGGGGGGAACCCUGAUCCAGCCAUGCCGGGUGUGUGAAGAAGGCCUUAUGGUUGUAAAGCACUUUAAGCGAGGAGGAGGCUCUUUUGGUUAAUACCCAAGAUGAGUGGACGUUACUCGCAGAAUAAGCACCGGCUAACUCUGUGCCAGCCGCCGCCGUAA